RNAcentral lists this ribosomal RNA (497 nucleotides) under uncultured bacterium. Its description in RNAcentral is "partial 16S ribosomal RNA". It matches the Rfam family "Bacterial small subunit ribosomal RNA", at positions 28 to 507 of the family's 1533-position model. The record is from RNAcentral.
GAUGAACGCUGGCGGCGUGCCUAAUACAUGCAAGUCGAGCGAACGGACGAGAAGCUUGCUUCUCUGAUGUUAGCGGCGGACGGGUGAGUAACACGUGGAUAACCUACCUAUAAGACUGGGAUAACUUCGGGAAACCGGAGCUAAUACCGGAUAAUAUUUUGAACCGCAUGGUUCAAAAGUGAAAGACGGUCUUGAUGUCACUUAUAGAUGGAUCCGCGCUGCAUUAGCUAGUUGGUAAGGUAACGGCUUACCAAGGCAACGAUGCAUAGCCGACCUGAGAGGGUGAUCGGCCACACUGGAACUGAGACACGGUCCAGACUCCUACGGGAGGCAGCAGUAGGGAAUCUUCCGCAAUGGGCGAAAGCCUGACGGAGCAACGCCGCGUGAGUGAUGAAGGUCCUCGGAUCGUAAAACUCUGUUAUUAGGGAAGAACAUAUGUGUAAGUAACUGUGCACAUCUUGACGGUACCUAAUCAGAAAGCCACGGCUAACUACGUG